This 497-nucleotide ribosomal RNA is filed under the name uncultured bacterium. Its description in RNAcentral is "partial 16S ribosomal RNA". It matches the Rfam family "Bacterial small subunit ribosomal RNA", at positions 28 to 507 of the family's 1533-position model. The record is from RNAcentral.
GAUGAACGCUGGCGGCGUGCCUAAUACAUGCAAGUCGAGCGAACGGACGAGAAGCUGGCUUCUCUGAUGUUAUCGGCGGACGGGAGAGUAACACGUGGAUAAACUACCUAUAAGACUGGGAUAACUACGGGAAACCGUAGCUAAUACCGGAUAAUAUAUUGAACCGCAUGGGUCAAAAGUGAAAGUCGGUCUUGCUGUCACUUAUAGACGGAUCCGCGUUGCAUGAGUUAGUUGGUAGGGUAACGGCUUACCCAGGCAACGAGGCAUAGCCGACCUGAAAGGGUGAUCCGACACACGGGAACUGAGAAACGGUCCAGACUCCUACGGGAGGCAGCAGUAGGGAAUCUUCCGCAAGGGGCGAAAGCCGGACGGGGCAACGCCGCGUGAGUGAUGAAGGUCUUCGGAUGGGAAAGCUCUGUUAUUAGGGAAGAACAUAUGUGUAAUUAACUGUGCACAUCUUGACGGUACCUAAAGAAAAAGCCACGGCUAACUACGUG